UGGGCCGACCUGAGCACCUGGUGCUUUAUCCCGGCUCAUCCGAAAGCGCACGACGACCUCGCCAGGUCAAUACUCACUCAUCAGGUGAGUAUUGAUCGAGCUGGAAACAGAGGUGGGAGGCUCUGACGUGAGCCGCAAGCCGCUGAGCGCACAGUCAGCUUAAGGUCAUGUCAAACGCCAACGCAGAUGAAUUCGGCGUCUACCGUGUGUGAGCGUGGGGAACCAAAAAACUUGUUGCGUUAAGAGACACAGUGGCACAACAACUCGCCGCUGGAAUCUCAAAACAGAGUUGUCACUCUGCCAAAGAAAUGCAAGAUGGUCAGAAUAAUCGGCUUCAUUCAAGUUUCACUUUCACCUCAAACGCCUAUUGUGAUGUGUUUGAAUCAAAACUCUGCGAUGAAAGCUCAUACCAGUGAUGCUGUUUAAAACAUUGUGAUUUUAUUAAUAUUACGGGACAAAAUGUUCUGUGUGAUUACAACUAUUAUUAAGCUAAUUGUUUAAUAAAGCAUUUCGGUGACUUAACCCUCCUGUUAAGUUGCAGGUCAAAUUGA
Molecule: long non-coding RNA, 551 nt
Organism: Poecilia reticulata (guppy)
Lineage: Eukaryota; Metazoa; Chordata; Actinopteri; Cyprinodontiformes; Poeciliidae
Source: RefSeq, a predicted model, not a curated record